AUACGGAAGGUCCAGGCGUUAUCCGGAUUUAUUGGGUUUAAAGGGAGCGCAGGCCGGUGUGUAAGCGUGACGUGAAAUGUAGAUGCUCAACAUCUGGACUGCGUCGCGAACUGGUUUCCUUGAGUGCAUUCGACGUCAGCGGAAUUUGUGGUGUAGCGGUGAAAUGCUUAGAUAUCACGAAGAACUCCGAUUGCGAAGGCAGCUGACGAGACUGUAACUGACGCUAAAGCUCGAAAGUGCGGGUAUCGAACAGGAUUAGAUACCCUGGUAGUCCGCACGGUAAACGAUGGAUGCCCGCUGUUUGCGAUAUAUUGUAAGCGGCCAAGCGAAAGCGUUAAGCAUCCCACCUGGGGAGUACGCCGGCAACGGUGAAACUCAAAUGAAUUGACGGGG
Molecule: ribosomal RNA, 393 nt
Filed under: uncultured bacterium
Lineage: Bacteria
Description: partial 16S ribosomal RNA
Rfam family: Bacterial small subunit ribosomal RNA
Source: RNAcentral